CAUAGGUUAAUGAGGCGAACCGGGGGAACUGAAACAUCUAAGUACCCCGAGGAAAAGAAAUCAACCGAGAUUCCCCCAGUAGCGGCGAGCGAACGGGGAGGAGCCCAGAGCCUGAAUCAGUGUGUGUGUUAGUGGAAGCGUCUGGAAAGGCGCGCGAUACAGGGUGACAGCCCCGUACACAAAAAUGCACAUAUUGUGAGCUCGAUGAGUAGGGCGGGACACGUGGUAUCCUGUCUGAAUAUGGGGGGACCAUCCUCCAAGGCUAAAUACUCCUGACUGACCGAUAGUGAACCAGUACCGUGAGGGAAAGGCGAAAAGAACCCCGGCGAGGGGAGUGAAAAAGAACCUGAAACCGUGUACGUACAAGCAGUGGG
Molecule: ribosomal RNA, 374 nt
Filed under: Escherichia coli
Lineage: Bacteria; Pseudomonadati; Pseudomonadota; Gammaproteobacteria; Enterobacterales; Enterobacteriaceae
Description: partial 23S ribosomal RNA
Rfam family: Bacterial large subunit ribosomal RNA
Source: RNAcentral